Molecule: RNA transcript, 6012 nt
Organism: Stegostoma tigrinum
Lineage: Eukaryota; Metazoa; Chordata; Chondrichthyes; Orectolobiformes; Stegostomatidae
Exons: 4
Source: RefSeq, a predicted model, not a curated record
UUGCUGACCCAUCCUUCAAUUCCCUCGUCCAAGUCAUUAAUAAAAAUUACAAACAGUAGAGGCCCAAGGACAGAGCCCUGUGGAACUCCACUCACCACUGACUUCCAGGCAGAAUAUUUUCCUUCUACUACCACUCGCUGUCUUCUGUUGGCCAGCCAAUUCUGUAUCCAAGCAGCUAAGUUCCCCUGUAUCCCAUUCCUCCUGACCUUCUGAAUGAGCCUUGUUCAAGCAGUGCAGGUUUGAAAACCUAUUUUGUAUAGGUGAAUGGGUUUGUUGCACGUCGAGACAGCAGAUCUUAGACAACCUCAAGUUUAGAGGGUGUGGACUAUAGGAUCAACCAGGAAUGCAAAGAAAUAGUUGAAUAUAGAGAUAACAAUGGUAUGAGAGGCAAUAUCAUCAGCAGAUGCACUAUAAAAAGGUAAAGUUAGGUGACAUUACAGAGCUGGAUUAGCUGGUUUUGAUGAUGGCACAAAUAUGUGGUUGAAUGCCUAUCUCAGCUUUGGUUGGUUUAGUCUCUGGCUGUUGCUGGGGAGAAGGACGGAGUUGGUAGUUGCGGAAUUGAAUAUGAAACAGGGACCAAAUCAAUGACUUCAGUCUUUCCAAUACUUAAAUGGAGAAAAUUUCUGCAUAUUCAGUUUUUUGAAUGUCAGAUAUUAUAUUUGAUUACUUAGGAACGAUGGAGAAGUUGUGAAUGGUAUGAUCAGUGUACAUGUGAAAGCUAAUACUCUUCCUUUGGAUGAUAUACUUGAAGAACAACAUAUCAAUGUGAAAUACGUUAGAUCCUUGAGGGAGACAUCAGAAGUAAUUGUGUGGGAGAAGGAAAAUAAAACAAUAUAAGUGUUACUUUGGCUACGAUUAAAUAGAUAAGAAUGGAACCAAGUGAAAGCAGUGUCACACAGCGAGAUGUUAUUGGAGAAAUGUUGGAGCACCUGGAGACGAAGUGUGGAACUUGGUAGUAGCAGUUUACUGGGAAUAGGAAUGAAAGUAGAAAGGUUAGAGAUAAGAAAAGCCCUGUCAAAAGUGCUUCUUCCACCCACCAGAGAUAGUUGACUUGGCUAUGGACUUUAGAUACUUUCUGAUCAACCUGCUGAGAGAUGUGCUGGAAGAGCUCAGCAGUUCUGGCAGCAUCUGUGGAGAGAAAUCAGAGUUAAUGUUUUGAGUCAAGUGACCCUUUCUUCACAGAUGCUGCCAGACAUGCUGAACUUUUCCAGCAUUUUCUAUUUUUGUUUCUUACUUACAGUAUCCACAAUUCUUUCGAAUUUUUGCAUUGGUUAGAGAAUAUUAUAAACCUCACAAGCAGGUAAGACUUGAACCCAGGCCUGUGGUCCAGAGGUAGGGCUCUAACAAUGUGCCACAAGAGCCUCUGAACCAUAAACUGUUCCCAAAUACCUCAAUUACCUAGGCCUCGAUUCCCAACUCUUAGUUUCUUUGCUUGUUGGGUGAUUUUCCAAAUUCUCCUAUCUUGGGUGUUGUAGUCAGUAGUUAGGAUUUGAACUCACCACUCCCAACUGGCGUGCAUGAAGAAAGAGAAGCGAUCUUAAAUCAUUUGAGGAAGCUAAAAUUAGUUCAGAGAAAAGAACUAGCUGAUUAUAAAAUCUCCAUCUGCUAGUUUGCUUUGAUUUUCACCCAGGAUGAUAAGAACAUAACAGCAGAAAAUCUUUCCAUUUUGGCAGGAAUAAUUUAAAUUGCCUGCUUCAAUAUCUUCUAUGAACUUACUUGAGAAAUCUAUUAACCUUUAUGUAAAAAAAAGUCCAAUUUCCUUUCUUGUUGACUUCCUAAUUUUUGUGUUCACCUUCCCCCACCCACUGUUGAGAGUUUGAAUUGUUUGUUUCGUUCAAAAUUAUGCUCAAGUGUACUCGAGUUCCUUGCUGCCUGUAAUGAUAAGCCAGUAAUUUGCAUUGAACAUCUAACUGAUGACUGCACAAAAGGUACAAAUCCUCCGCUGUUAGAUUUAAUUUUUUUUCAUUACUUGCUUCCAAUUUCAGUAGGCAUGAAGAAAAAGAAAUAUUGCAUUUAUAUAGCACCUGUCCCUAGCUAUGGCCCAAAGCACUUUACAAACAAUUAAAUAUUUCUGAAAUGUUGUCUCACAAAUUGAAUGUCAUAAUCACUUGAUAACCAUGUUUUUGAUGUCUGUUGAGAAAGAAAUAUUGACUGGGAUGUGGGAUAACUCCUCUAACCUCAUUUGAAAUAGCACAGGGGAUCUGUUGCAUCCUGCUAAAGAUAGAUUGGGUCUCAGUUUAUUGUGCCAUCUGACAGACAGCACCUUUGACAGUGCAGCAUUCUCAGCUCAGCACUGGAGUGUCAGCUUGGACCUCAUGCGAAUCUUUGAAGUAGGACUUGGACCCACAAUUUUCAGAAUGAGAAACCAUGAAAAUACCAACCAAAAUUACCUGUGCUUUCAAAGGUGUGCAGCAACCUGAAACCGCCCUGCUGGCUGUUCACAAAUCAUCCAUUUUGAGAUGCUGCAGUUGUGCAGCCAUGCAAUAACAUUUCAUUUGGAACUGUGCAUUCAGUUCAGUUGGCCAUGCACAACACAAGAUAUAGGCAGAAUAUUUCUCCCACCUGAGCUAUGGCUGGUCUUACUAAAGGUAUUACUUUCAAUUCCUUUUUGUUAAAUCCAGUCUUGGGUUAAGCAUUUCUUCACCCUUUGUAGCAUUUGAGAGCGAAAGUUGAAUUUCAUUAGAAAGACCGAAAGUACGAAGUCCUGUACAAAAUAACUAACCUAGGCUUUUGACAAGUUUUGGUUCCUGAUCUGGAUUAGCCAAUAUUGCACCUGCAAUAUUAUAAAUCUCAUCUUUCAAUUCCCAUCAUGGCGUUACCUUUUCCCCAUUCUUUGAAAUCUUUUUUGACCCUGUAACACUGCUGCAGCAUCUGUGCUUAUCCAAUUCUGGCCUCUUGCUCAGCUUCUUUAACCAAGCAUUUGACUAUGUGCCCUGAGAUAGUAGGAACUGCAGAUGCUGGAGAAUCUGAGAUAACACGGUGUUCUGAAGAAGGAUCUCAACCCGAAACGUCAACUUUCCUGCUCCUUUGAUGCUGCUUGACCUGCUUAGUUCAUCCAGCUUCACACCGUGUUAUCUUUGACUAUGUGCCCUAAUGUCUUGUAUGUAGCUUGGUGCCAUAUUCUGUUUUAUAAUGCCUUCUGUGAAGUGUCUUGUGCCAUUUUAAUAGCUUAAAUGUGCUGCGCAAAUAUAUGUUAAAUGCGUUACAGCGUAGCUGUGAAGAAAGUGAUUCUUGCUUGAAAUCUCAUCAAGAAGUUUGCAUUUGUAUUGCCUGUUUGUACAAGAGUCACAGUAUGUAAAAUGAAUGUGAAAUGGCCUGGAAGAAGUAUGAUGGGUAGCUUUGAACUGUGACCUAAUUAUCAUGACGUACCCAUUGUCACUAUCUUAAAACUUGAUAUAUUUUUCAGUUUUACUGGAAAAUAUUUAAUCUUCAGGGGAGGAACUGAUUCUGAAGUGGUCAUAUUAUGAUGAAGAAAUAGUAGAUGAAUGGGUCAUUCAUUAAAUUUUGGAUACCUUACUGAGAGCUCCAAGGAAAAGGAUAGAAAAACCUUGGCCAAUGAUGUUGGGAAACUUGUUUUUAAACAUGGUAUUCUUACAGAUGUCAAAAAUGCCAACAGCUUAAACCAAUCACAAACAGUUCAUAUACUUUGCCGUUUUGGUUUAAGGUUAUAUUGUUUUUCUCUCCAGUCUAAAAUGGAACAUAUUUCAUCAGGAUUGCAAGUAUGUCCAUUUUGUGGUAAAGCUUUUAAGCGACUGAAAACACAUCUUCCUCACUGUAAAAUGGCCAGAAUUGUGAACAGUAAAAGUAACUCUAAAGAGACAGAGAUAAAUAUUGCAAUUCCACAGCAAAAAAUAAAUUGGAAAUGCUCUCCAGCAUCAUCCAACAAGAAAAUGAAAGUUAAAGCAAACUCAGCAAAGAUUUUAACACAAAAGGAAGAAGUUUCAUCAACAAAAAAGAACAAUCAUUCGAUAGGUUUGGGAAAUGAACUGUGUGCUUCUGUACAAAGUGCUCAGCACAAAGAUAUUAAUGAACCACUUUCAGGUCAAGAAGAUUUGAUGAACAAGAGAUGGCAAAUCAAAAAAGAAAGUCAACAGUCUGUUAGUAAGACAACUAAAGGACAACCUAAAUGGGCAAAAAAAGAAAUGGUCAUAAGAACAAAGUCAAGUGAGCAUUUUUUAAAAUGUGAUGAAGAUAAAGUAGAUAUGAGGUUAAAAGGCGCUGCCACAACAAAAGUGAAGAGUUCUCAGAAGAUUGUAAAGGACAAUCGUAUAAAGAAAAAACAAGAAUAUAAUGAGCAUAGUUCUCUAAUGGACCCACUGAAUGAAAAAGGAUGCACUGACUUGGUAUCGCAAAGUACAUUUUGUUCAAAAGGGAAAUCAAUUCUUAAUUUAGAACAAAUUCACAUCCAACCAGAAUUUGAAAAGGGGACAGCUGUGUUGGAUCUGAAGGCCUAUGAAAUUGUACCUCAGCUAUCUUGUGCUAUCCAAUCAAAUUCACAUCACUUCUCAAGACGAGAGAAUGCAGUUUCUCAAGAUGAUUUAAGAUGUCAAGCCAGCCAGAAUGAAGUCACAAAAAGGAUGGUCUCAUAUAUACCAGUAACUGAACAACAUCCAGUAAUUAACAUCAAAACUAGUGUGUGGCAUCACAUUAAAAAUAAUUUGUGUAAAUCAAGAACCUGUGUAAAACAGGAUUUUAUUUUGAAAGCUAACAGGAAUGGUUAUAGAGCUGAUGUUUUAAAGACAAGUCAUUGUAAUUCCUCUGCUAAUAAUUACAUUUGGAGUGAAAUUAUGACUUCUGAGCAGGUGAAGGAUUUAAAUAAAUAUAAAGGCAAACCACAUAUUGAUGAUGUGGAUGUGAAGGAAAUGGAACCAAGUGACUGCAACAUAAAUGGUGCCACACCAUCAGAAUAUUUGCAUUUGUCCCAGAAAGAAAAUGAUUGGAAAAAAGACUUGUUCUCAUCAACGAACUCCAGGAAAACAGUGCAUUUGGAUGAAAAGAUUAAAGAACCUUGUUUUUGUGGGCAAACUGGGAUAGGAAUGGAGUGGUUUCCUGAACUGUAUCCAGGCUACCGUAGUAUUGGACUGAGAAUGCUUCCCGAACAAAUUAAACAGUUGGAAACAUCUAUAAGACUAUCUGCCAUUUGGUGUAAAAACACAAAAGGAGGCCAAAUAUUUAUCUGGAAGAUGUAGUGUCUCUAACUUCUCAAUGUCUGAGCCAAACACCUCAUGCAUAUUACGGAGGUCAUAGUAAAUAUAUGAACCCAUGGAGAAGAAGAGCUGGAGGUGUGAUCACUUUGCUUUUGGGAUGUGCAAUCUUCAGCUACACUUGGAAUUAUGAUUUCAACAAACACGACUACAGGAGAAAAUAUCAUUGAGAUUUUGGAACUACAAUGUUUUUCUGAUUCAUUCCACUCCAAAAUCAAGAGGUAGAAGAUAUUGUAUGAAGAAAAAACAUCAAAAAUUUUGCUGUGGAUUUUAAUUAUUGUGCCUUUCAGUUAUUGUGCUUUGCAUUAUGUAGGAGAGGCAUAAAUAAGAUGAGUAUACUUGAGUUGCUUUACUAUGAAGAUAUUUUAAAAUUUUACAAGCUAUAAAUAGGGGUAUUAUUUUAGACUGUCAUUUGUCAUUGUUUUUGUAAGUCAUUGUUGAUAUAAAGUGAUUUCAAAAUGCACUUUCCUGACUACUACAGAAGGAAACAUAUCUUAAAAUAAAAUAAAUAGAACUUUCAAGCAAGUAUUCUGGAAAAACUGACUUGUAAGUAGUUAAAUAAAUGGCAAUAAGAAAAAUAAUCUCACUUGUAGGAUUUUUAGCAUUCUACCAUCCAUCAAAAUCUUGUUCCAGAUAAUCUUUUCUUUUGUUUAGAAAAAAAAACAGCAUUGUGUAGGCAGUACCAUUAGUUGCUUCAGUAGAAGAAAACCUUCACAUCUUAAAGCAUUUGCUGAAACAAACAAUCAAGUUGGUUACACUUUGAGCAAAAUUAUCUUGUGCUUUCUUCAGAUUUGUAUGAGGAGCUUGA